GUAAACCACCGCUGAACCUUCUGAAGAGAUUUCUCAUCUGCACUGUUUUGCUGUAGGUGUUGCUUGUCAUGGACCCAUUUCCUGGUUCUUCUCCUUAAGGGCAUUGUUUCAACUACCCUAGCUGACUGCAUAGAAAGUCAAGGAUUCAUUCUUGCUGAAAUCUCUGAGCCAGCAUGAAGGCACUGUCAGCAGAACUCAUACGUGUUUGACUGCAACUCUGUCUGUACAGAGAAGAAGGCGGCUUUAAUAUUCACCCUUCAAGGUUAAUCAGGUCUUUAAUAAAAGACCAUGGAAAUGUCAGCAGUCUGAACAAACAAACCAGAACUGUAACCGAAUGUUCGUUCAAACAAAGAAAUAUAAACCCUCUUUAUUAAUGUUCUUCACACAGGUAGUGAUGGCAUACAGCUAUCUAUGGAAAUAUUCUCUGCUCUGAAUACUGGAUGAUGAGACUGAUGAGUGCCUAGUAACGACUGACUUAAAAUAUCUCAUUUACUGCAUCUUGAAUCCUAAAUUAGAUCUUGCUAUUACUUCCUC
This 534-nucleotide long non-coding RNA is filed under the name Gallus gallus (chicken). The record is from RNAcentral. Lineage: Eukaryota; Metazoa; Chordata; Aves; Galliformes; Phasianidae.